UAGGGAAUCUUCCACAAUGGACGAAAGUCUGAUGGAGCAACGCCGCGUGAGUGAAGAAGGGUUUCGGCUCGUAAAGCUCUGUUGUUAAAGAAGAACACGUAUGAGAGUAACUGUUCAUACGUUGACGGUAUUUAACCAGAAAGCCACGGCUAACUACGUGCCAG
RNAcentral lists this ribosomal RNA (164 nucleotides) under uncultured bacterium. RNAcentral describes it as "partial 16S ribosomal RNA". It matches the Rfam family "Bacterial small subunit ribosomal RNA", at positions 355 to 511 of the family's 1533-position model. The record is from RNAcentral.